AUUGAACGCUGGCGGCAUGCCUUACACAUGCAAGUCGAACGGUAACAGCACUUCGGUGGCUGACGAGUGGCGAACGGGUGAGUAAUACAUCGGAACGUGCCCGAGAGUGGGGGAUAACGCAGCGAAAGCUGUGCUAAUACCGCAUACGAUCUACGGAUGAAAGCAGGGGACCGCAAGGCCUUGCGCUCAUGGAGCGGCCGAUGGCAGAUUAGGUAGUUGGUGGGAUAAAAGCUUACCAAGCCGACGAUCUGUAGCUGGUCUGAGAGGACGACCAGCCACACUGGGACUGAGACACGGCCCAGACUCCUACGGGAGGCAGCAGUGGGGAAUUUUGGACAAUGGGGGAAACCCUGAUCCAGCCAUGCCGCGUGCAGGAUGAAGGCCUCGGUU
Molecule: ribosomal RNA, 390 nt
Filed under: uncultured bacterium
Lineage: Bacteria
Description: bacterial SSU rRNA
Rfam family: Bacterial small subunit ribosomal RNA
Source: RNAcentral